UACGAAGGGGACUAGCGUUGUUCGGAUUUACUGGGCGUAAAGCGCGCGUAGGCGGACCUGCGAGUCGAGGGUGAAAGCCCGAGGCUCAACCUCGGAACUGCCUUCGAUACUGCGGGUCUCGAGUCCGGGAGAGGUGAGUGGAAUUCCUAGUGUAGAGGUGAAAUUCGUAGAUAUUAGGAAGAACACCAGUGGCGAAGGCGGCUCACUGGCCCGGUACUGACGCUGAGGCGCGAAAGCGUGGGGAGCAAACAGG
Molecule: ribosomal RNA, 253 nt
Filed under: uncultured bacterium
Lineage: Bacteria
Description: partial 16S ribosomal RNA
Rfam family: Bacterial small subunit ribosomal RNA
Source: RNAcentral